GAUGGGCUCGCGGCCUAUCAGCUUGUUGGUGGGGUGAUGGCCUACCAAGGCGACGACGGGUAGCCGGCCUGAGAGGGUGACCGGCCACACUGGGACUGAGACACGGCCCAGACUCCUACGGGAGGCAGCAGUGGGGAAUAUUGCGCAAUGGGCGGAAGCCUGACGCAGCGACGCCGCGUGAGGGAUGAAGGCCUUCGGGUUGUAAACCUCUUUCAGCUCCGAAGAAGCGAGAGUGACGGUAGGAGCAGAAGAAGCACCGGCUAACUACGUGCCAGCAGCCGCGGUAAUACGUAGGGUGCAAGCGUUGUCCGGAAUUAUUGGGCGUAAAGAGCUCGUAGGCGGCUCGUCGCGUCUGCUGUGAAAGCCCGGGGCUUAACCCCGGGUCUGCAGUGGGUACGGGCGGGCUAGAGUGCGGUAGGGGAGACUGGAAUUCCUGGUGUAGCGGUGAAAUGCGCAGAUAUCAGGAGGAACACCGGUGGCGAAGGCGGGUCUCUGGGCCGUAACUGACGCUGAGGAGCGAAAGCAUGGGUAGCGAACAGGAUUAGAUACCCUGGUAGUCCAUGCC
This 565-nucleotide ribosomal RNA is filed under the name uncultured bacterium. RNAcentral describes it as "bacterial SSU rRNA". It matches the Rfam family "Bacterial small subunit ribosomal RNA", at positions 224 to 801 of the family's 1533-position model. The record is from RNAcentral.